AAGAGAUUAGUUAAAAUAAUAACAUUAAUUUGUCAAAUUAAAAUUAUUCAAAUUUAAGUAUAUCACUUA
Molecule: transfer RNA, 69 nt
Filed under: Pterocomma pilosum
Lineage: Eukaryota; Metazoa; Arthropoda; Insecta; Hemiptera; Aphididae
Description: tRNA-Asp
Source: RNAcentral